Solanum dulcamara is the source of this 613-nucleotide long non-coding RNA. RefSeq lists it as uncharacterized. NCBI's taxonomy places the organism in Eukaryota, Viridiplantae, Streptophyta, Magnoliopsida, Solanales, Solanaceae. The transcript is spliced from 3 exons. The record is from RefSeq and is a predicted model, not a curated record.
UGGUCCUCCUCCUUGGAGUGAGGUUGUGUAUAAAAGGACAAGGGGUUGUAGAAAAUAAAUAUUUGCACACACAAAUUCUGGUAGAGUAAUUGGUGUGGAAAAUAGCUAAAGAUUGCAAUUUCGUAAUUCUGGAUUCUUCAUCUUUGAACGAAUUUUGUGGUAGCUUCAAUAAGCGCGACGUCACCGAAGCGAAGAAAGAGUCGUUGGUGCGAGGGUCAGCGGACUGACUAACUCCGCAGGAGCGGCCUUGGCCCCGCACGCGCAAAAUCACAGGUGCGACCAAGGCCCACAGGAGCGAGGGCUGCCGACGUGGCCAACUCCGCAGGAGCGACCAAAAGUAUCCUGAGCGGAGAAGUUGAAUUCUAGGAAUGAACACAUGCUUGCUAGCGACUGACCGGUUAUAAUUUCUGCAUGUGUGACGUUGUUGUUGAACCUGCAACAAAUCAUACUUGAAUACAAAUCUUAUGAUAUGAGCUCAGCAACUUCCUCUGUUUCAACUCAACAUAAUGUUCUCCUUGGAAAUUUUAGUCUGUUAAAGAUUUUUUUGUGAACAUAAUGAUGAAGGAUCUUGUAAUAUUUCUCUCCUUUCGGUGAUUCAUUUGCUUAUAUAAAU